Molecule: non-coding RNA, 32 nt
Filed under: Rattus norvegicus (Norway rat)
Lineage: Eukaryota; Metazoa; Chordata; Mammalia; Rodentia; Muridae
Source: RNAcentral
UGAAGCAUACGUAGAAAAUAGAUGUCCUCUGU